RNAcentral lists this ribosomal RNA (253 nucleotides) under uncultured prokaryote. Its description in RNAcentral is "partial 16S ribosomal RNA". It matches the Rfam family "Bacterial small subunit ribosomal RNA", at positions 524 to 776 of the family's 1533-position model. The record is from RNAcentral.
UACGUAGGGACCAAGCGUUGUUCGGAUUUACUGGGCGUAAAGGGCGCGUAGGCGGCGUGUCAAGUCAAUUGUGAAAUCUCCGAGCUUAACUCGGAACGGUCAAUUGAUACUGAUGUGCUAGAGUACAGAAAGGGCAACCGGAAUUCUUGGUGUAGCGGUGAAAUGCGUAGAUAUCAAGAGGAACACCUGAGGCGAAGGCGGGUUGCUAGGCUGAUACUGACGCUGAGGCGCGAAAGCUAGGGUAGCAAACGGG